This 390-nucleotide long non-coding RNA is filed under the name Cyanistes caeruleus (blue tit). Its description in RNAcentral is "lncRNA (ENSCCEG00000007530.1)". The record is from RNAcentral. Lineage: Eukaryota; Metazoa; Chordata; Aves; Passeriformes; Paridae.
AUGAAUUGCCCAGCAAUUUUCUUGUGGUUCAUGGAUUUGUCUACCCAGACUAUUGAGCUCUUUAAUGAAAUGCUGUUUGUUCCUUCAGUAAUAGCAGGUAUUAUUGUAAGUGAUCCAUCAUAUAAUAAUCCAGCAGAAGGGUAAAUGACUAUCUAGCAUUUGACCAUUGUUAUCUGAAUCUCCUGUAAACUCCUUUGCUUCAGUCCCAGGAUCAUUUAGUUUUUUAUAUGUUUAAGAUUUAUUUUGGUUUGCAUAAGCAAGAUCUUCAGGGCAGUGAAUGCUUCCACAGUUUUAUGUGAGGGACAGUUAGUUAACCCUCACUGCAUGAGUUAUUCUCCUACUGCUGGCAAAGAGGUGUCCUGCUGGUAACUGCUUUAAGAACAGCAUUUU